Molecule: ribosomal RNA, 450 nt
Filed under: uncultured bacterium
Lineage: Bacteria
Description: partial 16S ribosomal RNA
Rfam family: Bacterial small subunit ribosomal RNA
Source: RNAcentral
GUGGGGAAUAUUGGACAAUGGGCGAAAGCCUGAUCCAGCCAUGCCGCGUGUGUGAAGAAGGUCUUCGGAUUGUAAAGCACUUUAAGUUGGGAGGAAGGGCAGUAAGUUAAUACCUUGCUGUUUUGACGUUACCGACAGAAUAAGCACCGGCUAACUUCGUGCCAGCAGCCGCGGUAAUACGAAGGGUGCAAGCGUUAAUCGGAAUUACUGGGCGUAAAGCGCGCGUAGGUGGUUUUGUAAGUUGGAGGUGAAAUCCCCGGGCUCAACCUGGGAACUGCCUCAAAAACUGCAUGACUAGAGUACGGUAGAGGGUAGUGGAAUUUCCUGUGUAGCGGUGAAAUGCGUAGAUAUAGGAAGGAACACCAGUGGCGAAGGCGACUACCUGGACUGAUAAUGACACUGAGGUGCGAAAGCGUGGGGAGCAAACAGGAUUAGAAACCCCUGUAGUCC